RNAcentral lists this ribosomal RNA (468 nucleotides) under uncultured bacterium. RNAcentral describes it as "partial 16S ribosomal RNA". It matches the Rfam family "Bacterial small subunit ribosomal RNA", at positions 28 to 507 of the family's 1533-position model. The record is from RNAcentral.
GACGAACGCUGGCGGCGUGCUUAACACAUGCAAGUCGAACGGAAAGGCCCUGCUUUUGUGGGGUGCUCGAGUGGCGAACGGGUGAGUAACACGUGAGUAACCUGCCCUUGACUUUGGGAUAACUUCAGGAAACUGGGGCUAAUACCGGAUAGGAGCUCCUGCUGCAUGGUGGGGGUUGGAAAGUUUCGGCGGUUGGGGAUGGACUCGCGGCUUAUCAGCUUGUUGGUGGGGUAGUGGCUUACCAAGGCUUUGACGGGUAGCCGGCCUGAGAGGGUGACCGGCGACAUGGGGACUGAGAGACGGCCCAGAAUCCUACGGGAGGCAGAAGUGGGGAAUAUUGCACAAUGGGCGGAAGCCUGAUGCAGAAACGCCGCGUGCGGGAUGACGGCCUUCGGGUGGUAAACCGAUUUCGCCUGUGACGAAGCGUGAGUGACGGUAAUGGGUAAAGAAGCACCGGCUAACUACGUG